CAAGUCGAGCGAAUGGAUUAAGAGCUUGCUCUUAUGAAGUUAGCGGCGGACGGGUGAGUAACACGUGGGUAACCUGCCCAUAAGACUGGGAUAACUCCGGGAAACCGGGGCUAAUACCGGAUAACAUUUUGAACCGCAUGGUUCGAAAUUGAAAGGCGGCUUCGGCUGUCACUUAUGGAUGGACCCGCGUCGCAUUAGCUAGUUGGUGAGGUAACGGCUCACCAAGGCAACGAUGCGUAGCCGACCUGAGAGGGUGAUCGGCCACACUGGGACUGAGACACGGCCCAGACUCCUACGGGAGGCAGCAGUAGGGAAUCUUCCGCAAUGGACGAAAGUCUGACGGAGCAACGCCGCGUGAGUGAUGAAGGCUUUCGGGUCGUAAAACUCUGUUGUUAGGGAAGAACAAGUGCUAGUUGAAUAAGCUGGCACCUUGACGGUACCUAACCAGAAAGCCACGGCUAACUACGUGCCAGCAGC
This 477-nucleotide ribosomal RNA is filed under the name bacterium BSD64-2-1. Its description in RNAcentral is "bacterial SSU rRNA". It matches the Rfam family "Bacterial small subunit ribosomal RNA", at positions 58 to 515 of the family's 1533-position model. The record is from RNAcentral.